GGAGAACUAAAAGAGGUCCAAUCCAAUCGAAGAUUGAAAUACAAGGCAGUGAUAGAGGAAAACACGCUGAUUAAUAGUAGUUCUUCUCUUGUUUCUGGUAGCGAAGGUGAGAUCAAUACACUUGCUCCUGACAAAAGCACACUUGAAAGUGAGAACUGGGGGGGGUGUGAUUUUUGCAACUCAGAUAACAUUGACUCGGAUUCGACUGAAUUUGAAAUUGGGGGACUUCAUUACGGUCCUUAUAGCGACGAUGACGGGGGACUUCAUUACGGUCCUUAUAGCGACGAUGACGGCUUUGGGUAUGAAAUGAAGGAGACCAAUUUUGUUUGGGAUGGAUGGUGAGUUUUUGUAGUAGUUACUCUUCUUGUUUAUCACAUACAAGUUUCAGUUGCCUUUACUUUUACUCAAUAAAUUUGUUCAUGGUUGAUUUGUGUUGAGGUUGUUAAAAUUGGAAUCCUACCUUCUGGAUAAUGAUAAAUUUGAUAUAAUACAUCUUUUAU
Molecule: non-coding RNA, 500 nt
Organism: Camellia sinensis
Lineage: Eukaryota; Viridiplantae; Streptophyta; Magnoliopsida; Ericales; Theaceae
Source: RefSeq, a predicted model, not a curated record